RNAcentral lists this unclassified non-coding RNA (300 nucleotides) under uncultured Herpotrichiellaceae. Its description in RNAcentral is "sequence contains 5.8S rRNA gene, ITS2". The stretch from base 1 to 71 matches the Rfam family "5.8S ribosomal RNA", at positions 84 to 154 of the family's 154-position model. The record is from RNAcentral. Lineage: Eukaryota; Fungi; Ascomycota; Eurotiomycetes; Chaetothyriales; Herpotrichiellaceae.
GUGAAUCAUCGAAUCUUUGAACGCACAUUGCGCCCUUUGGUAUUCCGAAGGGCAUGCCUGUUCGAGCGUCAUUAUCACCCCUCAAGCCCCGUGCUUGGUGUUGGACGGCUUGGUCGUUGCCCCGGCGCGACCCCUCCGAAAGAUAACGACGGCGGCCUGUGGUUCCCCCGGUACACUGAGCUUUUUACGAGGCAUGUGUCGGACAAGGGCGCCCAGGCUCCGGUCCCCCUUUUGCCCUCACCGGCGAAAAACUCACAAGGUUGACCUCGGAUCAGGUAGGAAUACGCGCUGAACUUAAGC